GUGCCAGCAGCCGCGGUAAUACGGAGGGUGCAAGCGUUAUCCGGAUUUACUGGGUUUAAAGGGUGCGCAGGCGGAUAUGUAAGUCAGUGGUGAAAUCUCCGGGCUUAACCCGGAAACUGCCGUUGAUACUAUAUAUCUUGAAUGCCGUGGAGGUAAGCGGAAUAUGUCAUGUAGCGGUGAAAUGCUUAGAUAUGACAUAGAACACCUAUUGCGAAGGCAGCUUACUACACGGAGAUUGACGCUCAUGCACGAAAGCGUGGGGAUCAAACAGGAUUAGAUACCCUGGUAGUCC
Molecule: ribosomal RNA, 292 nt
Filed under: uncultured bacterium
Lineage: Bacteria
Description: partial 16S ribosomal RNA
Rfam family: Bacterial small subunit ribosomal RNA
Source: RNAcentral